RNAcentral lists this ribosomal RNA (497 nucleotides) under uncultured bacterium. RNAcentral describes it as "partial 16S ribosomal RNA". It matches the Rfam family "Bacterial small subunit ribosomal RNA", at positions 28 to 507 of the family's 1533-position model. The record is from RNAcentral.
GAUGAACGCUGGCGGCGUGCCUAAUACAUGCAAGUCGAGCGAACAGACGAGGAGCUUGCUCCUCUGACGUUAGCGGCGGACGGGUGAGUAACACGUGGAUAACCUACCUAUAAGACUGGGAUAACUUCGGGAAACCGGAGCUAAUACCGGAUAAUAUAUUGAACCGCAUGGUUCAAUAGUGAAAGACGGUUUUGCUGUCACUUAUAGAUGGAUCCGCGCCGCAUUAGCUAGUUGGUAAGGUAACGGCUUACCAAGGCAACGAUGCGUAGCCGACCUGAGAGGGUGAUCGGCGACACUGGAACGGAGACACGGUCCAGACUCCUACGGGAGGCAGCAGUAGGGAAUCUUCCGCAAUGGGCGAAAGCCUGACGGAGCAACGCCGCGUGAGUGAUGAAGGUCUUCGGAUCGUAAAACUCUGUUAUGAGGGAAGAACAAAUGUGUAAGUAACUAUGCACGGCUUGACGGUACCUAAUCAGAAAGCCACGGCUAACUACGUG